RNAcentral lists this ribosomal RNA (253 nucleotides) under uncultured bacterium. RNAcentral's name for it is "partial 16S ribosomal RNA". It matches the Rfam family "Bacterial small subunit ribosomal RNA", at positions 524 to 776 of the family's 1533-position model. The record is from RNAcentral.
UACGUAGGGUGCGAGCGUUAAUCGGAAUUACUGGGCGUAAAGGGUGCGUAGGCGGGUCUUUAAGUCAGGGGUGAAAUCCUGGAGCUCAACUCCAGAACUGCCUUUGAUACUGAGGAUCUUGAGUACGGGAGAGGUGAGUGGAACUGCGAGUGUAGAGGUGAAAUUCGUAGAUAUUCGCAAGAACACCAGUGGCGAAGGCGGCUCACUGGCCCAUUACUGACGCUGAGGCACGAAAGCGUGGGGAGCAAACAGG